RNAcentral lists this ribosomal RNA (253 nucleotides) under uncultured bacterium. RNAcentral's name for it is "partial 16S ribosomal RNA". It matches the Rfam family "Bacterial small subunit ribosomal RNA", at positions 524 to 776 of the family's 1533-position model. The record is from RNAcentral.
UACGAAGGGGGCUAGCGUUGUUCGGAAUUACUGGGCGUAAAGCGCGUGUAGGCGGCUUUGCAAGUCGGGUGUGAAAGCCCUCAGCUCAACUGAGGAAGUGCGCCCGAAACUGCAGAGCUUGAGUACCGGAGAGGGUGGCGGAAUUCCCCAAGUAGAGGUGAAAUUCGUAGAUAUGGGGAGGAACACCGGUGGCGAAGGCGGCUUUCUGGACGAUAACUGACGCUGAGACGCGAAAGCGUGGGGAGCAAACAGG